This 1243-nucleotide ribosomal RNA is filed under the name metagenome. RNAcentral's name for it is "bacterial LSU rRNA". It matches the Rfam family "Bacterial large subunit ribosomal RNA", at positions 1564 to 2815 of the family's 2925-position model. The record is from RNAcentral.
UGAGUACAAGAUGCUACGGCAUUGAAGCAGUCUAUGUCAUACUUCCAAGAAAAGCUUGCAAUGUCAUAAACAAAUAAUGCCUGUACCAUAACCGACACAGGUGGGUAGGUAGAGUAUACUAAGGGGCGCGAGAUAACUCUCUCUAAGGAACUCGGCAAAAUGACUCCGUAACUUCGGGAGAAGGAGUACCUUAUUUUAUAAGGUUGCAAUAACAAGGUCCAAGCAACUGUUUACCAAAAACACAGGUCUCCGCUAAGUCGUAAGACGAUGUAUGGGGGCUGACGCCUGCCCAGUGCCAGAAGGUUAAAGAAGUUGGUUAGCAUUAGCGAAGCUGAUAACUGAAGCCCUGGUGAACGGCGGCCGUAACGAUAACGGUCCUAAGGUAGCGAAAUUCCUUGUCGGGUAAGUUCCGACCCGCACGAAAGGCGUAAUGAUUUGGAUACUGUCUCGGAGAGGGGCUCGGUGAAAUAGACUUGUCUGUGAAGAUGCGGACUACCUGCACCUGGACAGAAAGACCCUAUGAAGCUUUACUGUAACUUGAGAUUGAAAUUGGACUUUAUUUGCGCAGUAUAGGUGGGAGACCUCGAAAGUAUUCUUGCGGGAAUAUUGGAGUCAUCAGUGAGAUACCACUCUUAUAAUGUUAGAUUUCUAACUUUGUAUCAUUAUCUGGUCAAAGAACAGUUUCAGGCGGGCAGUUUGACUGGGGCGGUCGCCUCCCAAAUGGUAACGGAGGCGCACAAAGGUUUCCUCUGAACGUGUAGAAAUCGUAUCUAGAGUGUAAAGGCAUAAGGAAGCUUGACUGUGAGACCUACAAGUCGAGCAGGGACGAAAGUCGGUCUUAGUGAUCUGACGGUGCUGAGUGGAAAGGCCGUCACUCAACGGAUAAAAGUUACUCUAAGGAUAACAGGCUGAUCUCCCCCAAGAGUUCACAUCGACGGGGAGGUUUGGCACCUCGAUGUCGGCUCAUCGCAUCCUGGGGCGGUAGUACGUCCCAAGGGUUGGGCUGUUCGCCCAUGAAAGCGGUACGCGAGCUGGGUUCAGAACGUCGUGAGACAGUUCGGUCCAUAUCCGGUGUAGGCGUUAGAAUAUUGAGAGGAGCCUUCUUUAGUACGAGAGGACCGAGAAGGACAUACCUCUGGUGUACCAGUUAUCGUGCCAACGGUAAACGCUGGGUAGCUAUGUAUGGAGAGGAUAACCGCUGAAAGCAUCUAAGUGGGAAGCCCACCUCAAGAUAAGUAUUCCC